RNAcentral lists this ribosomal RNA (253 nucleotides) under uncultured bacterium. RNAcentral describes it as "partial 16S ribosomal RNA". It matches the Rfam family "Bacterial small subunit ribosomal RNA", at positions 524 to 776 of the family's 1533-position model. The record is from RNAcentral.
UACGUAGGGUGCAAGCGUUAUCCGGAAUUAUUGGGCGUAAAGAGCUCGUAGGCGGUUCGUCGCGUCGGCUGUGAAAACCUGAGGCUCAACCUCAGGCCUGCAGUCGAUACGGGCGGACUUGAGUACUGCAGGGGAGACUGGAAUUCCUGGUGUAGCGGUGAAAUGCGCAGAUAUCAGGAGGAACACCGGUGGCGAAGGCGGGUCUCUGGGCAGUAACUGACGCUGAGGAGCGAAAGCGUGGGGAGCGAACAGG